Molecule: transfer RNA, 72 nt
Filed under: Camelus bactrianus (Bactrian camel)
Lineage: Eukaryota; Metazoa; Chordata; Mammalia; Artiodactyla; Camelidae
Also listed under: 2 other names
Rfam family: tRNA
About the family: Transfer RNA (tRNA) molecules are approximately 80 nucleotides in length. Their secondary structure includes four short double-helical elements and three loops (D, anti-codon, and T loops).
Source: Rfam by way of RNAcentral
GAGGGUAGAGCUCAGUGGUAGAGCACAUGCCUAGCAUGCACGAGGUCCUGGGUUCAAUCCCCAGUACAUCCA